Molecule: long non-coding RNA, 560 nt
Organism: Eutrema salsugineum
Lineage: Eukaryota; Viridiplantae; Streptophyta; Magnoliopsida; Brassicales; Brassicaceae
Exons: 2
Source: RefSeq, a predicted model, not a curated record
CCACGUGUUAGUGUUAUAUUGGCCAUAAUUUUUUUUUUACGCUCUUUUCCUGUGAUAUUUCCUCCUCGACAUUUCUUUGCUUCUUGGUUUUGGUCGACGAUUUUCUCCUCUUAAGCCGACGAUUUCUUUACCAAAUCGGAGAGUUUGAAGAUAAAAUCGAAAGCUUCAGGCUCAUCUAUGCCGGAAAAUAGCUAGCUGAUGACAAAACGACAAAGGACUACAACAUAGAGGGAGGCUCUGUUUUUCAUCUGGUUCUUGCUCUUAGGGGUGGUUUUAGUCUUCUCUGAGAUGUAAUUCUCUCUUUUAUCUAAGUUUAUUUGCUCCAAGAGUUUCCUUUCUAUGGCUGGUUGAGUUCAUGAGAAAAAAGUGAAUGCAAUUUGGAUAUAUGGUGGUGCUUUAAAUACUAUUGCUGGUUUUUCAGUUGGGUUUGAAUCAUUUUACCAAUAAUAGGUAACAGGACUAUGCACUGACCUCUUGAUGAUGUUGUUGUUGAGUGUUGAAAACAUUACGAGAGACAUUACUUUUGCUAAAAUCUUAUUUAAGUCAGAGUCUUUGAAUAU